Molecule: long non-coding RNA, 5649 nt
Organism: Dreissena polymorpha
Lineage: Eukaryota; Metazoa; Mollusca; Bivalvia; Myida; Dreissenidae
Exons: 3
Source: RefSeq, a predicted model, not a curated record
GGCCCCUUUAAUGAAAACAUCUAAAUAGUUUUAGUUGAAAGAUUGGAAAAUAUACAUGAUGAAUACGCCAAUGUAUAGCUUAAUGUGUUUUCUUGGACAUAACAACAACAACUUCAUUAAAAUCGACUCUGCUAACAGCUAACACUUAUAUCCGACGAAGUAAAAGGUCAGUCCUCAGACCUUCAAAAACUGUCAGAUUCUAUAAAAACUAUUCUGGAAGACAUGAAGAAACUCCAAGACAAUCAAGAGGCGAGCAUUCAAUAUGUUCAAAGUUCAUAUGAUGAGCAGUUACAAACAAUAAAGACAACUCGCCAAAAUAAAUAUAAAUUCAGCCUUAGACACAAUUGAACAGAAUACACUGAAGAAAAUGAAAGAUACUCUGACCAAACUUCAGGCCCUUGCCAAAAGUGAUGUUGACAAAUGUAUCGGGCUUCGGGAUGAAUUGAAACAACUUUGAGACGCGAUACAGGACAUAAGUGAUAAAAUCAAACUGGAACUAUCCUGUAUAGCCACCAGCAAAUGCAAGGAUAAAAUUCAGCAGUCUGAAACCUUUCUGAAGGAGAAUUAUCUUCAGGCUAAAGUUUCUAUAACAUUUCAGCCCAACAGUGAAAUUAUACAGUACUUGUCCAAAUUGUCGGGUUUCGGACGAUUGAACAGACAUUGAUGGGGCAAGAGGAUCCAAACAAGGUGUUCACUGUACAGGGAAAGUCUGUACAACAUGUGAAAAUAUCAAGUGAUUCAACGGAAUGCAGUAUUGCAGCCAUCUGUGUUCUCCCAGACAGACAGGUCCUGGUUGCAGACAACAAUACUGAGAAUGUCAAGCUGCUUGACCAGCAGAACCAGGUGAGCAGUCACUGGAGUGUUACUGGCAGGCCAGUUGGUAUGUUAGAAAUUACACCCAGUGAGGUGGCUGUGACUGUGAAUGAUGCUCCUAAAAUACAUGAGGUCCAGUUUAUCACAGUCAAGAACAUGCAGCUGGUGAUAGGAAGGAAGCUUCAGUUACAACAUACAUGUACUGGUAUUGUCUACCGCCAGUGAGACCUGUAUAUCAAUGCAGAUACUGCACUGUACAAGUAAAUACUGAGUGAAAAACAAGUCAGCAAGAUGUACGAGAAUAAAUCAUACACAUUUACAGUACAUAUGGUUGCUGUGAGUCCCACAGGGGAAAGGCUGUACAUCACUAAUCUCUCCAUUAACAAGCUUCUCACCCUGGCCAAGGAUGGUUCAGUCCUGGCCAGUUUUGCUGACCCUUCACUAAAAGCCCUACAUGGUGUACACGUGACACCUGCAGGCUAAGUGCUGGUAAGUGGAGGCAUAUACCCCAAAUUCUACAUCACACAGUUGGACAGUGAGGGGAGAAGAAAACUGGCCACUCUUGCUACCCUUAAGGAUGGGAUUGCUGACCUUUGGUCAGUCUGCUACAACAGACACACCGCCUGCAUUUUCAUCUGACUUUCGGAAAAAAACAGUAUCCUGGUGUUCAAAGUACAAUAGUGUUUGUUUAACAUGCAUCUUGUUUUAUUAUUAAGAUUAUAUAAAUGGUCAUGAGAAUAUGUUGUUGUAAAAUUAGAACACUUUGAUAUGAUAGUAAACUAAUGAUAGUUUUACUAAAGAGUGUAUGUGAACAUUAGAAGUGCUAUAAAUGUAUUAAAUUGUUCUAUGACAAUUUCUAUUUCACUUAACACGUUAAAAUGAUGUUUGUGCAGGGAAUAAUUUAUGUUAUUUACCUGACAUCCAAAUCAAACUCGAUACUGUAUAUUGUCUGUCAUUUCCUUUGCGUACAUAUAUAUAUAUAUACAUGUAUGUAUUCAUUGCCUGAUGGAUUGAUGACAAUAAUUCAAAACCAACGAUCUUGCCAAGGCAGUUCAAUUUUAUUUCUGUAAAGCGAGACAGAAAAUACGGUUUGCGUAAAGCUUGAAUACUCAUAAUAGGGGAGUGAUUUCGAUCAUAUUAGGUCGGCUAUUCAUGUACAAAACGGAAUCCUCCAGACUAUUAUUAACCUGUGACCUAUGCACGUUUUGGGUAACGUGAGCGCCGGUUUCACAUGUUGUCCGCUUCCGCGCAUUUCAAAACAAAGAAGAACUACUAAAUAGCACAAUCAGUGUGGUUGUGUUUGGAUCUGGAUCGAUAAAUGUUAAUACUGUGUACGUUUAAAGAUAUAUUUUAAUUUUUUCCCUGUGCACUAGCAAGUUAUCAACAUUUAUAAUAUAUACGAUAUCGGUACAAAACAAACGUGGCUUCGUAAGUGAAAAAUGCAUUACAACUGGAAAAACACGACACACUAUACACGUGCAAGUCAAUGACAUGUAUAAAUAAAGAGUGAGCUGCGCCCAUGAAUUAAACGUUAAAGUGCAUUUUAUAUUGACAGGGUAAAAUAAAUCAUAGCAGACGAUAUUUAAAGUUGAAAUUUAAACUACGCAAAAACAAGCGGUCGAUAGUAAAGUUAACAUGGGGCGGGUUAUACGAGUAUUGAAAAUGUGGUCAUAAAACAGACGGAGUGCAUUUACGAAUUAAAGCGGCACUAUGGGAAAACAUAAUGUAAACAUGAUUUAAACGAAAUGUGCAGGUGUAAGACAGCGUGAGCUUAGGCUGGUAAUGACAUUAUUAUUCAUCCUUCAGGCAAAUGGCGUUGUAAACAAUGAUGCAAUGGUCACGUGGUUAUAGCGUUUUCGAAGACUGGGCCCGUUUGCGAACACGGCAGCAACUCCAAUGGCGGCUUAUCUAUGGAAUGUAUUUAAUAUAGAGUUAAAUAAUUGCAACUCGCAGGCAUUUCAAAAAACACGCAAUUAGCUUUUAACGGCGAUAUGUUCAUUUAAUAAAUUCAGGGAGUUGUAUAUGUUAGCAGAAGUAUGGCCAGCUCUCGGGGUCGUCAUUUUAUCAUAGGAUUAACGUAUGGUACUGCAUUUCGAACAUAUUUUUGUAAUGCUCCAGGGCGAUCUAGCAAAGGCCUGUCGUAGAUAAAAGAGCCCCAUAUAUCGAUUUUUUAUGUUAUGUUCGAUUCUGCCUAUGGUCGCUCAAUAUAAGCUUGAAUCUGUAUUGUCAAGAAUAUCUCUUACGUUGGAAUUUAUUAUCGUUUAUUCAGAAUCAGCGAAUAAAAAUAUAUUAAAUAUAUUAAAAUGGCAUUUCCGGCGAGGAUAAUAGUAUGGGAAAACACCAGGUUUUUCAGAAAUGAUGACGUUCACUUAUCUGACGUCGGACUCAAAAUAUAUAUUUAGAUUCGUUGCGCAAGUGUUUAUUAAAACUAGUUUUAAACAUGCCAUAGAAUUUGUAUUUGUAGCGGAAAUUCUAUGUCUUGGAGGUGAUCGGAACCAUUAAAAUUAUACAUUGGUAACUAUAUAUUGAUGUACAUACGUCCGGGGUAGGUAAACAUAGCAUUUUGUUGUCACCUAUCACGUAGUGCUCGUAUGUGUGAGGACCCACCCACCCAAAGAGAUUGUUGUUAAUAUGUUAAACCUUUUUGUGAUGUUCAAAUGUACUGCCGAGAUAUUUAUAACAGAAUGGCUGCCAAUCUGACGCGGGCGACCACGGAACACGUUCGGGUUACAUUCACCAACUGUACACCACUCAUCGUUAUGACGUCGGUUUAAAUGUCGGGCGUCAAAUCGUGGAUAGCGGCGGCGCCAUGGCAUGGAUACAUCGCUAUAGUCCAGAGCUAGGUCAAUAUCCAGGAUGUUGCUGAGACGCGACCUCAUUGAAUGGAAAUUAUGGGUAACAAAGAGUCACCCAAUGUGUUUGAGUGUUUCUGCUACUUAACCUGUCGUGUAAAAGUGCUGUGACGUGUGCCUUCUUGCAGCGACAUGAAUGUGUAUUAAUAGAAGGUUGUUGAUCUGUCGCGGGCGACCACGGAAAACGUUCGGGUUACAUUCACAAACUGUACACGACUCGUCGGUAAGACGUCUGUUGAAUCGUCGGGCCUGAAACCGUGGAUAGCGACCUUUGCAUGGAUAUAUCGCUAUCGUCCAGAACUAGUAAAAUAUCCAGUAUGUCGCUGAGACGCGACAUCAGUGAAUUGAACUUUCAGUUCUGAGCGUUACGGAGUUUAGCACAGAACGUGGGUCUAAAAAUAACGCAUUGUACACCGCAGGUAAAUGUUCGGUUCGUUUAUGCGUAUGAUUGUCACGUGAGUGAUGGACACUCAGGCGGACAUAGGAGGGAAUGUGCACGGGGUUUUCAUUGUUUGGUCAGUCCUACGCUAUACUUCGACCAGUAAACUUUUACUUCUUUAAAUUCGAAUCGCAUUAAAAAGUUGGCUAAAAUGACCCGUUAUGUUUGUUGAGUUACAUAAUGUCCACAGUUACAUGUUAAUAUUGGUUGUUUUCGGGUAUAGUUUUCCAGAGUUAUUUUACAUUUGGCAUCUGAUAAUUUCUGAUGAAGUUUUAUCUCUGGUUUUUACUCUGGCCUUGAAAUCACCAUUAAGGGAUAAAUAAUAGAAGUGAGGUAUACACAUCAUAGUUGUACUGUGUUACAUAAUUCAUAAAUCAAAGUUGUAAUGUCAUUUUAUUUUACGAUUUUACUUGAUUGUUAUAUAUUAGACAUUAUGGGAAACAAAGUGUCACCCAAUAUGUUUGAGUGUUUCUGCUACUGAAAUGUGCCAUAUAAAAGUGCUGUGAAGUGUGCCUUAUUGAAAUGAAAUGAAUGCGUAUAAUAAGGUAAUUUUAUUGCUGCAUACUUGUGUGAGAUAUAGUUUUUAUCACGACAGUAAAUUAUUGAGAUCUAUGACAAUCUGACACAAUAACAUAUGUCAGUAUUAACUCAUGUUAUAUGUUUGGUACGUCAUUUAAAAAUGUCAUUUAGGCCGAAAUUCUAUGUCUUGGAGGUGAUCGGAACCAUUAAAAUUAUAAAUAGGUAACUAUAUAUUGAUGUACAUAUGUUCGGGGGAGGUAAACAUAGCAUUGUGUUGUCACCUAUCACGUAGUGCUCGUAUGUGUGAGGAUGGCAGGAAUGCUUUCAAAAUUAUUUUCGGGAUGGUAUGGGUGUUCUAGUACUCGCUCGAUGGCAUGGCGUGCUUAGGCGUACCUAAAUAGCUAUUUUUGGCUUGAAAACCUACGGUACGGCGUUCCGAGGAUUUAUUUUGUCGGUUGCGGAUGGCCUUAGCGAUUGCGAAUGUAUGCUAUGUUGCACGGUACGGCGUACCGAUAAUUUAUUUGGCCGGUUGCGGAUAGCGAUUGCGCAUGUAUGUUAUGUUGCACAGUACGGCGUACCGAGAAUUUAUUUUGCCGGUUGCGGAUGGCCUUAGCGAUUGCGCAUGUAUAAUAUCUAUUUUCGAACCAGCAACGUGUUCGUUGAAAUAGGAAUUGCAUUCAUUGGCGAAAUAGCAUAAAAUGGUGUGGGUUGUGUGAUGGCGAUUAUUGCAUAAACGAGAAGCUAAAUAAAUAGUGCAACUGGGGUUGGGCAAUCUUUAGGCUAUCUUUAGGGCAGUACUUCCGGUCGUCUCCUCGACAUGACUCGGUUAUAGUGCUAGUCUAUAGCUGAGGUUUAUUUACUCUAGUGCUAGUCUGGUGUAAAUUAUAUUCCGCCAUUGGCCAUUUAAUUCCAUUUAUAGAAUUUGGAUUGUUCCUCUCAUAUGUUUUCUAUUGUUCAAAUAUAGAAUAUGAAUGUGUUUACGUAAGGUAUCACAUUAAAACAUUAUAAUAAAUAUGAACUGACAAA